UGAAUAGAUUUUUCCAAAAUUAAAACCGCGAAGGGUGAAGCAGGUUAGUAGGACGGCUGAGACUCUUACAAGUUACAACGACAGUGAUAUUUGCAGCAACUAAUCGGGAAAGGCAGGUAUCUAAUUUGCAGCAUUUUCUUGGUAAAAAUGAACUUCUCUGAGGCAACUACAUCCAGCUCUAGGUUUUCCUGGAAUUAUAAGUGGUUUAUUUUUUUAUUUUUUGUUACUACGUCAAUUCGUGGCUGUCAAUUGUUUGGUGUCCGUUUAAUCCCCUCCCCCCUCCCAACCCAUAAAAAAAUAAAAAAUGAAUGGAACCAAAGCCGUAUAGCGCACCAACUGUUUGGUAAAAUUCCUCCAAAAUGCCAAUAACCACUCUGCGAGGGCCUCGAGCUCAAAUUUGUUGUCACCACACUGGCACUGCUAGGUGGUGAUUUCCCUAUAUAUAACAGUAGUCACCAUUUUCACUGUUUACCCCACAAGUUCGUUCCUCCGAACUGGCGUAUCACCAGCACCACCACCACCACCACCGCUGUCAUUUCUGAUAUAACAAACAAUGUAACCACCAAGGACCCACCACCAGCAGUACCAUUAUUGUGCUCCCUUAAUCGAUGUUGCGUCCACCUUCUCCACUUUUCUAUCACUUCGUCACUUUCACUACAAUGGUUUCCACUGCCUGGCUAUUGCUUUUCCUUGAAUCACCAACAUGGUCCCUGCAACCAUGUUUUGAUGCCAUAGGAAUUGCUGCCACCAUUGCCACCACCUUCACGGUAAUCAUUGCCACCCAUCCCCAUCUAUACACUGAAUGCCACCAUAACUAAUGGCAACAUUGGUUUUACCUCGUUUUGUUCUGCUAAUGGUUUACCUCUAGCAUACAUUUGUUUUUAUCAAAUGAGCUGCUGCCACUACUGCCACCAUCUUCACUGCAAUGAUUACCACUCAUUCCCACCUAUACUCUCAAUGCCACCAUUACUUGUGGCAUCAUUGGCUCCACGUCUUUCUAUUUUUUAGCAAACAUUAUAUUAAAUUUAAAGGAGAAAUACAAAAGAAGAGGGUAGGCCCUGAAAAAAUAUCUUUUUACAACAAAUAAAAUACAUGGAAAUUAAAAACAAAGGGCCCAUGGAGGCCAGAAAAUAAUCUACACUCAAAUUGUAACACCACAAUAGAAGGCCCAUCUUGUGUACCAUUUUGUGUACUUGGGCUAUGCCUAUUCAUAUAAAUAUAAUCGUUUACUUAUACAAAAAAAAAAUAGAAGGCCCAAACCACUUGACCUAUACUUCAAAAGAAAUAGUCGAUGAUACAAUUGGAGCCCCAUUGAAACAUUAUAAAGAGUAAAAACUUCUAUUUCCCAAGUUAUGUGGGAUCCCAUACACCACUUACCCUCACUUAUCAUAUGAGGUAUCACAAUCUCCCUUUUAAAUUCCCGAAGUCCUCUUUGGGCCCGUCCGUCAUAGGUGGCACAACUCAAGUCCCAUAUUUCUGACUGGGAUAGGGUCAGAUAUUAUUUGUAACACCCCAAUGGAAAGCUCAAACCACAUGGUCUAUACUCCAAAGGACUAAUCAAUAAUACAAUUGAGACCCCAAUUGGAAUCUUACAAAGAGUAAGAACUUCUCAUUCCCAAGCAAUGUAGGAUCUUAUACACCACCUACCAUUAUCUUUAUCCUAUGGUCUAGGCUCAAAUUCUUCAAUGGAGUCAAGGAGGGAACUACCAUAAAGGUGUUUUUUUUAUACAAUCAUUGCUAUACUUUGUUUGAAAGCUGCAUCGGCUAAUACUGCACCAAACUUGACUGCUUUGAGAAGUACAAUGAGUUUGAUGGAAAGGAAAGUAUGGAUGUCUACUUUCAACAAAAAGAGGAGAAAGCACGACAGAUUGUCUCUCAGAUUGAAAAGAAAUACCGUCAAGAUGUUGCGAGGAAUGGUGAUGUUUGGGCCCCUCCAGAGUGUAGGCCAUACCCUCCAAGCGUGGCAUUGGUUUGGUGGCAUGAAAUUAUCUAAUAUAAGGUAACCUGACCAUCAUAGAAAGAAGAGGUAGGAUGGGAGCAUCUGGUGAGAUUCAGUGAAGAUCUGACAUUACAACAGGGGGAGAUUGGAUCCAGAUACAAGGAACUAUCAAAAUACAUUAUAAAUUGCCUGAAUUUCCCAGAAGGAUUUUCCAAUAUGGACUGAAGAUCCAAAUUGAGUGGCUCUUGAAGGAUUUUCCAAGAAUCGAUGGGAAAUGGUGGUCUGGGGAGGGGAUAACGGAGCUUCUUCCCCUCCCUGGAAAGAGCUGGCCGGAAUGGGUUAGUAGGUGAGAGUCAACUGGGUUGAUACUGUUGUCUGGUUUAAUCUCCAGAAUUCAAAGUCUUGCCUUUCUUCUUAGAGAAACCAGUUUCCUCUUCCACAGAUCAACACUUCUUCAUUUGUGACCUUUAUCCUCUAUAACAAUUUACCAACGAUGGAAUGAAACAUGUUCAUCAAAGCCUGAUAUACAUGGUAGCAUGCAUCGUGUAUCUUUGUUUCCUCUCUUACCUUCUAUGGAACAUAUUAGAGUCCAAACUGAAAUAUUGAGAGAACUUUUUGGCAGCAGAUGGAGGAUUUAGAUUGAAUUACAUAGGAAUUUAGCUUGGUGCUAGUCGACCUGAAUGCCUAAUUUUAUGGGCUAUAAGUGUUAAAGUAUUUAACCGUGAAGUGUACUAAAGAUUCCUCUGAGGAUGUUUGUAUAUCCUGCUGUCAAGUCUAUAAAUUGUUAUGAAUUGUUAUAUUUAUUAUAUGUCAUGGUCCCCUGAAUUUCUCUACUUGUUUAUAUGUCUUAUUUCGUGUGGUGAACUGAGCCUUUUGCUAAAUUUGAUUGACAGGGAUGCAAGCAAAAGUCCACCUAUGGUAUCAAUUGUUGGUCUUCUUCAAUAUCAUCAGUAGUUGAAGUUUUGCAUUAAUAGGCUUUAGUUAUCUUUGAGAUUCCUUCAAGAGGAUGUACCAUAUUUUCUUUUUACAUAAAAUAAUCCAUAAGCUCGAAAUUGCAUUUUUGAAAGUUAUUUGUUGCAAGAUCUUUUAAUUAAGUCUUGAGCUUUUCUAUCAUUUGCUACUAGCUACUUCCCUAAGGCAUGGUGUGUCUUUUUCAUUGCAUCUGCUCACAGCUUCUUGCUUUUAUUAAAGGAUGCAACUACUGUAUUGUGUACACAGCAUCUGGAGAAGCUUCAGCACUUUUUGUAUAAUUUGGCUGAUAUGUUAAUCUCUUUGGGUUGUUGACUGUAAGCAGCUUUCACAUUCAAUGUCCCAUCGCCAAAUCAAUAUAGGAAUUGUCCAUACCUUCUCAUUGAGCAGAAGAGUCUUUUCCUUGACACACAACUCAAACAACAAAUGGUCAAGAGCAGGAACUUGCUCUUUUUGCAGGAAUCUUACAGCACUGAUGGAACAAAAGUGCUUUCUUUACUACUUGCAAUAAAAAUAUAUAUGAAGUACUUUCUUUACUUGAUUUAUUCAUUAACAUUGUCCAGCGUAUCAAUGCUAGAUAAGGGUUUCAUCUGAUGUAAAUUCUGUUUCACUUGUAGUACUCUGUUGAUUUACAAAUUAUGACGUUCUAUCUAACAAUGAGAUAUGGUUUUUGUUCCUUUA
Molecule: long non-coding RNA, 3589 nt
Organism: Carya illinoinensis
Lineage: Eukaryota; Viridiplantae; Streptophyta; Magnoliopsida; Fagales; Juglandaceae
Exons: 3
Source: RefSeq, a predicted model, not a curated record